Molecule: ribosomal RNA, 485 nt
Filed under: Vibrio alginolyticus
Lineage: Bacteria; Pseudomonadati; Pseudomonadota; Gammaproteobacteria; Vibrionales; Vibrionaceae
Description: bacterial SSU rRNA
Rfam family: Bacterial small subunit ribosomal RNA
Source: RNAcentral
AAAUUGAAGAGUUUGAUCAUGGCUCAGAUUGAACGCUGGCGGCAGGCCUAACACAUGCAAGUCGAGCGGAAACGAGUUAUCUGAACCUUCGGGGAACGAUAACGGCGUCGAGCGGCGGACGGGUGAGUAAUGCCUAGGAAAUUGCCCUGAUGUGGGGGAUAACCAUUGGAAACGAUGGCUAAUACCGCAUAAUGCCUACGGGCCAAAGAGGGGGACCUUCGGGCCUCUCGCGUCAGGAUAUGCCUAGGUGGGAUUAGCUAGUUGGUGAGGUAAGGGCUCACCAAGGCGACGAUCCCUAGCUGGUCUGAGAGGAUGAUCAGCCACACUGGAACUGAGACACGGUCCAGACUCCUACGGGAGGCAGCAGUGGGGAAUAUUGCACAAUGGGCGCAAGCCUGAUGCAGCCAUGCCGCGUGUAUGAAGAAGGCCUUCGGGUUGUAAAGUACUUUCAGUCGUGAGGAAGGCGGGUACGUUAAUAGCGUAUU